AAAGAGUUAGUUAAAUUAUAACAUUAGAAUGUCAAACUAAAAUUAUUAAAUUUUUAAUAUUCUUUA
Molecule: transfer RNA, 66 nt
Filed under: Rhithrodytes pantaleonii
Lineage: Eukaryota; Metazoa; Arthropoda; Insecta; Coleoptera; Dytiscidae
Description: tRNA-Asp
Source: RNAcentral